Lytechinus pictus (painted urchin) is the source of this 2472-nucleotide long non-coding RNA. RefSeq lists it as uncharacterized. The transcript has 3 exons. The record is from RefSeq and is a predicted model, not a curated record. NCBI's taxonomy places the organism in Eukaryota, Metazoa, Echinodermata, Echinoidea, Temnopleuroida, Toxopneustidae.
CUACAGGUAGUUUGAACUGUGCAGCUUUCACCGCUGGUAUCAUUGAGGCUAUACUAAAUGGAUGUAACUUUCCGGCUAAGGUAACUGCUCAUUGGCACAAAGGAACCACAUACAUGAUCAAAUUUGAAGACUCUGUUAUUGCUAGAGACAAAUCUCUGGAACAACGCUAGUCUUUCAGAAAAGCGUUUACUGUACAACCUGUGUAUAAAUACCGCUCAAGGAUGACAAGAAAGAAGGACUUAAUUGGCAGGUUGCUGUCUUAGGACCAUUUGGGAUGGACAGGACGGUGUCUCUCUAGGAUGAUCCUCUUUCUUUUAUUACAUGGUCUAAGGAGAACUACUAUUCAUGAGAAAGAAGUAAAUGUGGUCUUAAUAUAUACCAUUUGCCAUCUCAAAAUAUUCCAGUGGCAUUGCACAAAGUGAAGAUCAUGUACCUGACUUCAUGGCAACUGACAACUCUUCCACUUCUUGGUGACACUGAAGAUGCCAUUAGAAUGAUCUGUUGGAAGGACUUAAGAUUUAAAAAAAUAUUAUUUACAUUUACCAGUGAUGUAUGAUGAUGGUUUGAAUUAUUAGGAGCCAGGAACAUGUCUUGUACUGCUAUACUCAUUGAAUAUUGGACCAAAACUAGAUAUUUGGAGGAGCACAUUGUGAGAGGCCUAUGGGAGAGACAAUCAUUUGGCCUUUUUAAAAGGGGAUGUUGCGUCUGGAAAGCAUUUUGUCGACAUUUUUUAUCCACAAGUUGUCAUAUCUUUGGAACUUUCCUUUAUUUUGAUAAGCUUAGGAGCACAGUACCUAUGGUAACUGUUAGAUAAAAUAUACUUUGUCAGAUGAAAUGUCUAACAAGUCCUUUCAUGUGAAAUACUCCCCUAGAUGUUUUAGCCAGCUUGUGCCAAUGUACUGUAUGUGUGGCAAGUGUUUUUUCUCCUUUUAUCUGAUGUGAAGGAUCAUUUGUGUUGAUAAAAAAAAAAUGAAUUUAGAAUCAAAUAAACAUACUUUUUAUGUAGUUUGUGUCCAUCAGCAUAUGCUGGCUAAAGUGGUGUGUCAGCCCCUAUACUUGUACAUGUAGGGACAUGUACUUAUUCAUCUAUUAUUAUGAAUUAGAUAAAUUAGAUUCGACCAAUCGUGUCGCUGAAUAUAAAUUUAUAUAUUUUAUGAUUGAUUGGCUGCUGAGCCUUUACUACGAUGCUACUUUAACAUAAUGGGACAGUUAGCAUGAUUGAAAGUCCUUCAUGAAACAACCCCCAAAUCUACCUUUCAACAUACUGAGAGAUUUUGUUGAAAGAAGCCUAAAUUAAUGACACUUCUUUGAAAAUAACCUUUAGCUAAAGCAAUUGGAGACGUAUACUAAGCCAUUAUGAUGUCAAAAUAGCAAAGAAUUAAAGCCUCUUUUAGCUUUGGUAAAUUCCCCAAAAUGUGGCUAUCACUAUUCCAAAUCAUUACAAGAUUAUAUGAAUGUGUAUGAUGCCCUAAAACAGUGUUUUACAGGAUACAUUUUGUGAUUGUACAUGAAUAUGUAUUUUGAUCGGGUACUCGAUCAAAAUGUAAUGGUUUUUCUAUUUAUUAGAAACCCAUUCCAAACUGUUAACUUGGCUGAAAGUUUCAGGAUAUAUUACUUUGCCUGUAGCCUCUAAUUAUCCAAUUUCUAAUUUUUUAAGAUAAAUAAUAAUAAUAUGCAACAUUUAUAUAGGGCUUAAUAUAAAGCGCUGCAUACUAUUACCUUGGCUUUAGCAUGGCUACUCUGAGCAGACGCUUGAGCAUUCAAGGAUUUUGUUCCUACCGGAUACCCAUUUAUCACACCUCAUUGCCCAAAAAGACUUAUAAUGGAAAAUGAAAAUAGUGUUAAGAGAGGGCGUUAGAUACAUGUAAUUUGAUUUGAAUAUCUAGAUAAUCAUGGAGAAUUGGCAGUUGAAAUAAUAUCGAACAUCUUCUACGAAUUUUUAAGAUUGGAAAGUUAGACGAUACUCAAGUAUAAUGCACAUUUUUUACCCCUUACCCCCCCCCCCCCCCCCCGGAGUUCUAAUGGUGCGUCCCUUAGUGGCUUUAAUAGGUAAUUUGUAGACUUGUUUUGUAAAAAGACCUACAUGCACAGACAAAUUUUGUGUGUGUGGCUGGUUUGAAUGUUAUGAAGAAAAAAUAGAUAUGACUCUUCGAAGUAAAACAUGUAUAGGUAAAAGUAUCAUAGCAUCUCUUUGUGUAGCAAUGAAAUAAAUUUAGUAUCCGAAUUGUGCAAUACCAGCCUCAUGUAAUUAUAGAAAUUCGUUAAUGUAUGAAUUUUUCCUUUGUAAAAGAAGAAUGUCCUUGUCUGGUAGAUUAAAUGUGAGUCGAGUGAUGAAUUAUAUUAUUGUAUUUUAGUGCCGUCAUGUUUGCGAGCACAUCGGAAUCAAAUGACCUUUAGUAGUUAUAUACAUGUAAAAGCACUUGGAGAUGCUAUUCUGAGUACAUUAAAUGCUCUACAUGUACAAAAGUGGAA